This is a long non-coding RNA of Gavialis gangeticus (Gharial), 1502 nucleotides long. RefSeq lists it as uncharacterized. The record is from RefSeq and is a predicted model, not a curated record. Lineage: Eukaryota; Metazoa; Chordata; Crocodylia; Gavialidae. The transcript is spliced from 2 exons.
CCCCAGGUGGUUAGUCUUACUUAGGGUGAUAUUUACUACAGAGAGAGUGGAGGAUAACCAAGAAGACCACUUGGAGUUUGUAAUGACAAAAUACAACUUGAUCCUAGACAACAGGUCCAGCUGAAACUUCAGAAAGAAUACUUAUUCCUGUGCAUAGAUUCUCCAGAUGAAUCAAGACUGACAUCCACGGCAAAUAACAAUUUCCGGUCUAAAAAUGGGGAAAAAAGAGAGAUUGCUCCAAGGAAAAUUUCCAACAACUGACAGUGACAAGUCGACUGGAAGAUUUGAAAGAGUAAGCGUGACUUCCUCUGAUGAUACAUUGAAAAAUCACCUAGUACAUCACAGCUGAAGAGAAGAGUACGCCAUGCAGUUUUUAAGCUUCUUUUUUUAACGCUACCAUUGCUGAACUGAAAAAUCACUGUACAGUUUUAUUAUGUUACGAUAAUAUUAGUAGGCUAAUUUAAUUGAAACUGUCACCUUAGUCACUUCAUUUUACCUUCAUUUUAAUUAUUUGCCCUAGCAUGGUAUUACUGUAGUUGAAAGAGUGAAAGAAUGUAAAAUUUCUAUAAGCAUUCAUUCCAAAUCAAGACCUGUAUUGAUCUGAUAAUAGUCACAAGCUUUUUUUUCUGUUCCAUGUGUACUUGAAUUAAUAAGUUUUACUUGUGCUCACUAGAGCACUUUUUAUGCUUGAAUACUCAAAUAUUCAUUGGAAGUGAAUUUUGAAGUAUACUUUCCCCAUUUCUAGCUGCAAUUUGUUUUUUAUUGAUUAGUUACAUAAAGAAUGAGUAAAAACUGAGUAAGGGCUUCAAGGUGUCAACCAUAUUAGAUGGCAGCACUGAAAUAGAAUAUUACAUUCCUGUAUUAUGUUGAUGUUUCCAUUCUGAAACACUGGUAUUUCAGAAUACCAAAAUAGCUGAAAUACAGUUUUAUGUUUGCUUUUACUACUGUAAGUCAAUAACAUAAUGAGGUGCUUUUUAUAGAACGUUAUGAAUAAAAACUUCUAGUAGUGACAGGAAACCAGAAAGGAUGAAUUAAACUAAGGAUGACUGAAGAUCAGAGUGGGUGAUCUUCCUGCAGUAUAUUUCUUGUAGCUCGUUAUAGCAUCACGUGAGAGAAGAUUAUGGAGAAGACAUCUCAGUUUUAACUGCCUAUUUUAAGAGGGAAUAACUAGACCAUCAACUUGAUUCCAGACUAAUGUAUUAUAUACAAAUACUUGCCUCAGAUAUUAUGUUAAUAUUCUUGCAAGUUCACUGAAUACCACUUUAACAACUAUCAAUAUAAUUACUCUUUGUAAGAAUUGGAACAAGUGGGUUUGAUCCAUUAUAGUUUAAGAUCCAUGUAACUUGUAAAAAUCAGAGUAAAAAAACCCAAACAAACCUCUGCCUGCACUUUUAAAAAUGCACAUAUAUUUGACUGUUUACAUUGAUGUGGGAAACUAUAGCAAUAGUAAUUGAGAUUUUAUGGAUGCAAAUAAAUAUGUAAAUGCCAUAGGAUCUACCACA